GAUGAACGCUGGCGGCGUGCCUAAUACAUGCAAGUCGAGCGAACAGAUAAGGAGCUUGCUCCUUUGAAGUUAGCGGCGGACGGGUGAGUAACACGUGGGUAACCUACCUAUAAGACUGGGAUAACUUCGGGAAACCGGAGCUAAUACCGGAUAACAUUUAGAACCGCAUGGUUCUAAAGUGAAAGAUGGUUUUGCUAUCACUUAUAGAUGGACCCGCGCCGUAUUAGCUAGUUGGUAAGGUAACGGCUUACCAAGGCGACGAUACGUAGCCGAGCUGAGAGGGGGAUCGGCCACACUGGAACUGAGACACGGUCCAGACUCCUACGGGAGGCAGCAGUAGGGAAGCUUCCGCAAUGGGCGAAAGCCUGACGGAGCAACGCCGCGUGAGUGAUGAAGGGUUUCGGCUCGUAAAACUCUGUUAUUAGGGAAGAACAAAUGUGUAAGUAACUGUGCAUAUCUUGACGGUACCUAAUCAGAAAGCCACGGCUAACUACGUGCCAGCCGCCGCAGUAA
This 513-nucleotide ribosomal RNA is filed under the name uncultured bacterium. RNAcentral describes it as "partial 16S ribosomal RNA". It matches the Rfam family "Bacterial small subunit ribosomal RNA", at positions 28 to 523 of the family's 1533-position model. The record is from RNAcentral.